AGAGUUUGAUCCUGGCUCAGAGUGAACGCUGGCGGUAGGCCUAACACAUGCAAGUCGAACGGCAGCACAGUAAGAGCUUGCUCUUACGGGUGGCGAGUGGCGGACGGGUGAGGAAUACAUCGGAAUCUACUUUUUCGUGGGGGAUAACGUAGGGAAACUUACGCUAAUACCGCAUACGACCUACGGGUGAAAGCAGGGGAUCUUCGGACCUUGCGCGAUUGAAUGAGCCGAUGUCGGAUUAGCUAGUUGGCGGGGUAAAGGCCCACCAAGGCGACGAUCCGUAGCUGGUCUGAGAGGAUGAUCAGCCACACUGGAACUGAGACACGGUCCAGACUCCUACGGGAGGCAGCAGUGGGGAAUAUUGGACAAUGGGCGCAAGCCUGAUCCAGCCAUACCGCGUGGGUGAAGAAGGCCUUCGGGUUGUAAAGCCCUUUUGUUGGGAAAGAAAUCCAGCUGGUUAAUACCCGGUUGGGAUGACGGUACCCAAAGAAUAAGCACCGGCUAACUUCGUGCCAGCAGCCGCGGUAAUACGAAGGGUGCAAGCGUUACUCGGAAUUACUGGGCGUAAAGCGUGCGUAGGUGGUCGUUUAAGUCUGUUGUGAAAGCCCUGGGCUCAACCUGGGAACUGCAGUGGAAACUGGACGACUAGAGUGUGGUAGAGGGUAGCGGAAUUCCUGGUGUAGCAGUGAAAUGCGUAGAGAUCAGGAGGAACAUCCAUGGCGAAAGCAGCUACCUGGACCAA
RNAcentral lists this ribosomal RNA (742 nucleotides) under uncultured bacterium. RNAcentral's name for it is "bacterial SSU rRNA". It matches the Rfam family "Bacterial small subunit ribosomal RNA", at positions 8 to 737 of the family's 1533-position model. The record is from RNAcentral.